This 1687-nucleotide long non-coding RNA is filed under the name Equus asinus (donkey). RNAcentral's name for it is "lncRNA (ENSEASG00005033264.1)". The record is from RNAcentral. Lineage: Eukaryota; Metazoa; Chordata; Mammalia; Perissodactyla; Equidae.
GGGGCAGGCCACUUCCUCCUCCGCAGGGGCUGCGCCCCAGAACCUGCUGGACGGGGGCGAGGACGGACGGACCAGAUGGGCAGAUCCUGGGCGACCCCCGGCCGACUCUGCCUCCUGGCAGCUCUGGGCCCGCGGCCUGGCCAGGCGCAGCCCUUGGCCCAGAGGAAGCCGUGUCUGGUGGGGCUGGGGGCCGCGCUGGCCUUCCUCUUCCUCCUCUUCGUCCUCGCCCUGGGCCACGCCAUCUGCUGCAGCGGGUCCAGCGACAGCGACAGAGAGAAGGAAGAGGAGACUGUGAGAAAGAAGGAGGAGGAGGAGGGAGAGGACGACUGGGGGCUGGAGCUGGAGGAGCUGGAGGAGCCUGGGAGCCAGGAGAGGGCGGCGAGCUCCUCCACCUGAAGGCUUCCCGCCCGCCUCCUCCAGGCAGCCCCCCAGGGAUGCCGCAGCGUCUCCUGCGCACCCUGGUCCUGGGGCCGGGAGAAUGACUCCAUCUGGGGUUCGGGGUAAAGUGUCCCUGGAUGAAGGCGGCUCAGGACCUGUCCCCCCCCCCGCCCCCCCGCAGUCCCUCCUGGAAGUCUCUUUGCGGGUUACCUCGCUGUUACACCCUCCUUGGGCCUCCACCUGGUCUUUCUUCUCGAGCCCGGACAAGGAGCUCCCCACAGCCCGCGGCCCCCCGGGUCUCAUCUCUGUCCCCCCUCUGCAUUGCAGACAUCUUUCUUUACCCGCUGCCUGAUUUCUUCUCCCACCCUGAACGUGAACGUGGAGCUGGCUGCCUGGGCGAGGAGGGCCCCUCCCACCACGCGCUGAGUUUCAGGGGACCGUCCUGGAAGCUGCGAGUCCCAGGGGCUGGGCUGUGGGUGCACAGCCUCGUCACCCCCUCUUCCAGUCCUGCACUCCCGGUGGGCGCUCCACGGUAAAGGAAUUGGAGUCCCAGCUUCCUUGCUGUGUGACCCCUGGCAAGUAACUUAACCUCUCUGUGCCUGUGUCCUGUCCUGUAAAAGGGGAGGAUGAUAACUAGGUCUUGCAUAAAUUGUCACGAGGAUUAAACGGAAUAAUGUCUAGAAAACUCCUGAGGGCAGAACCCAGAACUCAAAAGGUAUCAAAUAAAUGUCAGCUUUGGGGGUGCUGAAAUGGUGGCAAUGGGGGGAAGAGCGAAUGAGCCUCCCCCCUCAGACUUGGGGGGUCCCGAGGGUCAGAGGGUGGGUUUCCAGACCGCGGCUCCGGGAGCCUGGAAGUCUUCUGCCCCCGGGCUCCUCCUGCCAGGUCUGGGGGUGCCGGGUGGGGGGCGGUGCUGAGGGGGGAGGGAGGCAGGGGGAGGGGAGGUCUGGUUUGGACCCCUCCGUUUCGGCAGGGGCGGGACUUCCCCGCCAGGGGGAGGCUGCAGAGAUGAGGGGGGCGUUUUGGGGUUGUCACAAGCCUGUCCCCCCUUAUUUGGCACUCGGAUGGCAGACAGCCUGCCGCGCUGGGACAGCCGCCCACUGCUUCCCCGGGGCCAGAGGCUGGGAAACGCUGAGGCUUUCGGGAGAUCAAAGGCCACGUGGACCCCCCAGCCCGGCUGAGCCCCCCACCCCCAGAUGACCCCCCUCCGGACAGAGCCCCCCACCUCAUCGGAGCCCCCCACCCUCAGAUGACACCCCUCCAUAUGGAGCCCCCCACCCCAUCUGAGCCUCGCACCCCCAGAUGAUCCACC